GGUAGCGUGUCCGAGUGGCCUAAGGAGCACGCCUCGAAAGCGUGUGAGGGGGCGACUCCUCCGUGGGUUCGAAUCCCACCGCUACCGCCA
This 90-nucleotide transfer RNA is filed under the name Phytoactinopolyspora halophila. RNAcentral describes it as "Phytoactinopolyspora sp. YIM 96934 tRNA-Ser". It matches the Rfam family "tRNA". From Rfam's summary of the family: Transfer RNA (tRNA) molecules are approximately 80 nucleotides in length. Their secondary structure includes four short double-helical elements and three loops (D, anti-codon, and T loops). The record is from RNAcentral. RNAcentral also lists the same sequence under 1 other name. Lineage: Bacteria; Bacillati; Actinomycetota; Actinomycetes; Jiangellales; Jiangellaceae.